CCAGACUUGACAUGCAGAAGACAGCUUUAGAGAUAGAGUGUUCCUUAGGGACUUCUGCACAGGUGCUGCAUGGCUGUCGUCAGCUCGUGCCGUGAGGUGUUGGGUUAAGUCCCGCAACGAGCGCAACCCUUAUCAUUAGUUGCCAACACGUAAUGGUGGGAACUCUAAUGAGACUGCCUGGGUUAACCAGGAGGAAGGUGAGGAUGACGUCAAGUCCGCAUGGCCCUUAUGUCUGGGGCUACACACGUGCUACAAUGGUCGGUACAGAAGGCAGCGAAGCCGUGAGGUGAAGCAAAUCCCAAAAAGCCGAUCCCAGUUCAGAUUGUAGUCUGCAA
This 335-nucleotide ribosomal RNA is filed under the name uncultured bacterium. RNAcentral's name for it is "bacterial SSU rRNA". It matches the Rfam family "Bacterial small subunit ribosomal RNA", at positions 975 to 1310 of the family's 1533-position model. The record is from RNAcentral.